RNAcentral lists this ribosomal RNA (2383 nucleotides) under Bordetella holmesii ATCC 51541. RNAcentral's name for it is "bacterial LSU rRNA". It matches the Rfam family "Bacterial large subunit ribosomal RNA", at positions 4 to 2437 of the family's 2925-position model. Lineage: Bacteria; Pseudomonadati; Pseudomonadota; Betaproteobacteria; Burkholderiales; Alcaligenaceae. The record is from RNAcentral.
CAAGCGACUAAGUGCAUAUGGUGGAUGCCUUGGCGAUCACAGGCGAUGAAGGACGUAGUAGCCUGCGAAAAGCUGCGGGGAGCUGGCAAACAAGCAUUGAUCCGCAGAUAUCCGAAUGGGGAAACCCACCGCGCAAGCGGUAUCCCUGGCUGAAUACAUAGGCCAGUGGAGGCGAACCGGGUGAACUGAAACAUCUCAGUAGCUCGAGGAAAAGAAAUCAACCGAGAUUCCGAAAGUAGUGGCGAGCGAAAUCGGAAGAGCCUUUACGAUUUAGCAUUUUGCAUAGUCGAACGGAAUGGAAAGUCCGGCCGUAGCAGGUGAUAGCCCUGUAGACGAAAUGCAGAGUGUGGAACUAGGCGUAAGAGAAGUAGGGCGGGACACGUGAAAUCCUGUCUGAAGAUGGGGGGACCAUCCUCCAAGGCUAAAUACUCGUGAUCGACCGAUAGUGAACCAGUACCGUGAGGGAAAGGCGAAAAGAACCCCGGAAGGGGAGUGAAAUAGAUCCUGAAACCGUAUGCAUACAAACAGUCGGAGCCUCUUUAUGGGGUGACGGCGUACCUUUUGUAUAAUGGGUCAGCGACUUACAUUCAGUGGCGAGCUUAACCGAAUAGGGAAGGCGUAGCGAAAGCGAGUCCGAAUAGGGCGUCCAGUCGCUGGGUGUAGACCCGAAACCAGAUGAUCUACCCAUGGCCAGGUUGAAGGCACGGUAACACGUGCUGGAGGACCGAACCCACUAGUGUUGAAAAACUAGGGGAUGAGCUGUGGAUAGGGGUGAAAGGCUAAACAAAUCUGGAAAUAGCUGGUUCUCUCCGAAAACUAUUUAGGUAGUGCCUCAAGUAUUACUGCAGGGGGUAGAGCACUGUUAUGGCUAGGGGGUCAUGGCGACUUACCAAACCAUGGCAAACUCCGAAUACCUGCAAGUACAGCUUGGGAGACAGAGCACCGGGUGCUAACGUCCGGACUCAAGAGGGAAACAACCCAGACCGCCAGCUAAGGUCCCGAAUUAUCGCUAAGUGGGAAACGAAGUGGGAAGGCAUAGACAGUCAGGAGGUUGGCUUAGAAGCAGCCACCCUUUAAAGAAAGCGUAAUAGCUCACUGAUCGAGUCGUCCUGCGCGGAAGAUGUAACGGGGCUAAGCGAUAAACCGAAGCUGCGGGUGUGUACUAUGUACACGCGGUAGGAGAGCGUUCUGUAAGCCUGCGAAGGUGGCUUGUGAAGGCUGCUGGAGGUAUCAGAAGUGCGAAUGCUGACAUGAGUAGCGAUAAAGGGGGUGAAAAGCCCCUCGCCGUAAGUCCAAGGUUUCCUGCGCAACGUUCAUCGGCGCAGGGUGAGUCGGCCCCUAAGGCGAGGCAGAGAUGCGUAGCUGAUGGGAAGCUGGUUAAUAUUCCAGCACCGUCGUACAGUGCGAUGGGGGACGGAUCGCGGAAGAUCAUCAGGGUGUUGGAUGUCCCUGUUGCUGCAUUGAAGAUGGCGCUUAGGCAAAUCCGGGCGCGUAAAUCAAGGGUGUGGCUCGAGCGAGCAUGUCUCGCGAAGUGAUUGGAAGUGGUUCCAAGAAAAGCCUCUAAGCUUCAGCUGUACGAGACCGUACCGCAAACCGACACAGGUGGACGGGAUGAAUAUUCCAAGGCGCUUGAGAGAACUCGGGAGAAGGAACUCGGCAAAUUAAUACCGUAACUUCGGGAGAAGGUAUGCCCCGGUAGUGUGAGGCGCCUGCGCGCUGAGCAUGAUGGGGUCGCAGAGAAUCGGUGGCUGCGACUGUUUAUUAAAAACACAGCACUCUGCAAAGACGAAAGUCGACGUAUAGGGUGUGACGCCUGCCCGGUGCCGGAAGGUUAAGUGAUGGGGUGCAAGCUCUUGAUCGAAGCCCCGGUAAACGGCGGCCGUAACUAUAACGGUCCUAAGGUAGCGAAAUUCCUUGUCGGGUAAGUUCCGACCUGCACGAAUGGCGUAACGAUGGCCACACUGUCUCCUCCCGAGACUCAGCGAAGUUGAAGUGUUUGUGAUGAUGCAAUCUACCCGCGGCUAGACGGAAAGACCCCAUGAACCUUUACUGUAGCUUUGCAUUGGACUGUGAACCGGCCUGUGUAGGAUAGGUGGGAGGCGCUGAGCUCGAGUCGCUAGAUUCGAGGGAGCCGACCUUGAAAUACCACCCUGGUUUGUUUGCGGUUCUAACCUUGGUCCGUUAUCCGGAUCGGGGACAGUGCAUGGUGGGCAGUUUGACUGGGGCGGUCUCCUCCCAAAGUGUAACGGAGGAGCUCGAAGGUACGCUAGGUACGGUCGGAAAUCGUGCUGAUAGUGCAAUGGCAUAAGCGUGCUUGACUGUGAGACUGACAAGUCGAACAGGUGCGAAAGCAGGACAUAGUGAUCCGGUGGUUCUGAAUGGA